Non-coding RNA from Arachis ipaensis, 1037 nucleotides. Lineage: Eukaryota; Viridiplantae; Streptophyta; Magnoliopsida; Fabales; Fabaceae. The record is from RefSeq and is a predicted model, not a curated record.
UAAUUCUCAAAACCCAGCAGCCGCCACCCUUUCUUCUUCCCUUCAGCUAGCUUGCAACACAACUGCGCAGCCCUAUCCUAACACACACACAUGGUUCCUGAACCAAAUGAAAAGAGAGAAACGGAAGAGAGAAGGGAGGAAGGAGGCUGUCCGCCGGCACCACUGGGUCUCGCCACUGCCGCUGAGGUAAGGAGACGCUGAGCUGCUACACGUGGGGAGCCGUUCAGCCACCGCGCCCUACCCAGUUGGGGCCGCCACUGUUGCUCACGGGGUCGCCUCUGUCACAGAUCGGAACUGAGGCGAGAGAGGAAGAGUCUGACGGGAGGGCAUGCGCGCGAGGAGGGAGGAAGGCUUCGCGAGGAGCGUCGCGCCGCCGCCGCUGUCCGUGCCUUCGCCAUCGUCGUUUCGUCUCAACCCAGCAUCGCCGUCGUGCCCUGGCGCCAUUAAUGGAGUACGCCGCCGUCGCCUGAGAAGAACCCGACGGGAGAGAAAGUGGGAAAGCCAGCCGCGACGCCGCCGGAGCUUCCAUUGCCGUCAGAAGCUACUACCGUCCAACCAGCUGGUGCAGUGGUUGUCGCCCGUCGUGAACGGCUGCUGAAGAAGUUGUUGUGGCCUCCGGAACCACACUGGAGCUUCUGGCCGUUUCUGCCGCUUGAGACCUUGCUACCGUCGCCGGAAAAUUUUGUCGUUGACUCACCGGAGCUUCAGGCCGCUACCGGAGCUGUUGCCGGGUCGGUUCGUAAUUGCAACUGCCUCAUUGUGUUAAUUCGAGCUGUUUAUGCUGCCGCAAAAAUGUGUGGGGCUGUGCUUUGAAGCUGCCGUUGAGUUUGGGUCGAGGCAAAAGGAUUUCUGAGAGGCGUUUGGAUUAUAGUUUCAACAUGUUGAGGAUAUGGACGCAGAAGUUACGAAGAGUUUAUCUAGUUGUUGUGAUGUUUUGUAUUGCUUUAGUUAUGGUUUAUUGUUCCCUCGCCUUUAUCUUUAUAUAUUCUGUAAGAGGGAUAGGAAUUGUAUUGGCUAAUGCUUGUAAUAAUAUUUAU